CUAUAAAACCCUGGAUUCCUAAUAGAUGUCCAGUAUGAGCUCAAAAAUGUAUCUCUUCAUGGUUAUCGGUUACUACCUUGUCUAUUCUGCAUUUGGGGUUCACAUUCCUGAUAUUGAGGAAGACUUCCCUUCAUUCGACCUUGAUGAUUCUGCAUUUGACAUUGACCUUAAUGGAGAGCUCCAUUUUGAUCCCACAG
Molecule: long non-coding RNA, 197 nt
Organism: Megalops cyprinoides (Indo-Pacific tarpon)
Lineage: Eukaryota; Metazoa; Chordata; Actinopteri; Elopiformes; Megalopidae
Exons: 3
Source: RefSeq, a predicted model, not a curated record